CGCAUAAGUAGUAUUACUGGUAUUACAGUGGGUCACAGAUAAAGAGAUAAAGAACAAAAUCCCUAGAAAUGAGAUGCUUAUUAUGUGCCAGCCCUGGUGGAUCUCCACCCAGCUUGAUGAGUCUCACAGUAAAUGAGCUGCGCUGUCCUUAGACUUGGGGCAGCGCAAGGGCCAGUCACACCCUCCCCACACACACUUGUUAUGCCUGCAAAGGACUGUGACUUUUCUUCACCUAUGGGCUGGGCCAGGCAUGACACUGCAAGUGCUCUUUGUAGCAAAGGCCUCCCAGUUCUCAGCUGCAUCGCGCUUUAAAUAUCUACAGUGUGAGAAGCUACCUUAUGUCAUCCCAUCUGUGAAGACAUGCAAGCAGAGCAUUCGUUUUUUCCCAAUUAACUAAAAAUGGAUUUACUAAAAGGAAUAUUUCACCCUCAGCUUUUAAAAAUAUCAUUUGCAAAGCCCAAGUAGAUAUUCUGAGAGGAAAAACGGCAAUUAGAGUGGUCAAAUAAUAAGCAUAAACAAUUAAUACCAUUUUAAAAUAUUGUAAUAUUUUUGGCCUGUUGACAGGG
This 566-nucleotide long non-coding RNA is filed under the name Serinus canaria (Common canary). RNAcentral describes it as "lncRNA (ENSSCAG00000013435.1)". Lineage: Eukaryota; Metazoa; Chordata; Aves; Passeriformes; Fringillidae. The record is from RNAcentral.